GUGGGUAUAGCUCAGUGGUAGAGCACAUGCCUAGUGUGCACCAGGUCCUGGGUUCAAUCCCCAGUACUUCCA
RNAcentral lists this transfer RNA (72 nucleotides) under Camelus bactrianus (Bactrian camel). It matches the Rfam family "tRNA". Rfam says of the family: Transfer RNA (tRNA) molecules are approximately 80 nucleotides in length. RNAcentral also lists the same sequence under 1 other name. The record is from Rfam by way of RNAcentral. Lineage: Eukaryota; Metazoa; Chordata; Mammalia; Artiodactyla; Camelidae.